GAGUUUGAUCAUGGCUCAGAUUGAACGCUGGCGGCAGGCUUAACACAUGCAAGUCGAACGAUGAUUACUAGCUUGCUAGUAUGAUUAGUGGCGAACGGGUGAGUAAUGCUUAGGAAUCUGCCUAUUAGUGGGGGACAACAUUCCGAAAGGAAUGCUAAUACCGCAUACGUCCUACGGGAGAAAGCAGGGGAUCGCAAGACCUUGCGCUAAUAGAUGAGCCUAAGUCGGAUUAGCUAGUUGGUGGGGUAAAGGCCUACCGAGGCGACGAUCUGUAGCUGGUCUGAGAGGAUGAUCAGCCACACUGGGACUGAGACACGGCCCAGACUCCUACGGGAGGCAGCAGUGGGGAAUAUUGGACAAUGGGCGAAAGCCUGAUCCAGCCAUGCCGCGUGUGUGAAGAAGGCCUUUUGGUUGUAAAGCACUUUAAGUGGGGAGGAAAAGCUAAUAAUUAAUACCUAUUAGCC
This 464-nucleotide ribosomal RNA is filed under the name Moraxella sp. canine oral taxon 017. RNAcentral's name for it is "bacterial SSU rRNA". It matches the Rfam family "Bacterial small subunit ribosomal RNA", at positions 9 to 469 of the family's 1533-position model. The record is from RNAcentral. Lineage: Bacteria; Pseudomonadati; Pseudomonadota; Gammaproteobacteria; Moraxellales; Moraxellaceae.